Molecule: ribosomal RNA, 372 nt
Filed under: uncultured organism
Description: bacterial SSU rRNA
Rfam family: Bacterial small subunit ribosomal RNA
Source: RNAcentral
CGUAGGGUCCGAGCGUUGUCCGGAAUUAUUGGGCGUAAAGGGCUCGUAGGCGGUUAGUCGCGUCGGGAGUGAAAACUCAGGGCUCAACCCUGAGCGUGCUUCCGAUACGGGCUGACUAGAGGUAUGCAGGGGAGAACGGAAUUCCUGGUGUAGCGGUGGAAUGCGCAGAUAUCAGGAGGAACACCGGUGGCGAAGGCGGUUCUCUGGGCAUUACCUGACGCUGAGGAGCGAAAGCAUGGGGAGCGAACAGGAUUAGAUACCCUGGUAGUCCAUGCCGUAAACGUUGGGCGCUAGGUGUGGGGUCCUUCCACGGAUUCCGUGCCGCAGCUAACGCAUUAAGCGCCCCGCCUGGGGAGUACGGCCGCAAGGCUA